This 754-nucleotide ribosomal RNA is filed under the name uncultured bacterium. RNAcentral describes it as "bacterial SSU rRNA". It matches the Rfam family "Bacterial small subunit ribosomal RNA", at positions 94 to 826 of the family's 1533-position model. The record is from RNAcentral.
AGUGGCGCACGGGUGAGUAACGCGUGGAUAAUCUGCCCGAGGAUUUGGGAUAACAUCUCGAAAGGGGUGCUAAUACCGAAUAAGCCCACGGGGUCUACGGAUCUUGCGGGAAAAGGGGGGGACUUUCGGGCCUCCUGUCUUCGGAUGAGUCCGCGUACCAUUAGCUAGUUGGUAGGGUAAUGGCCUACCAAGGCGACGAUGGUUAGCUGGUCUGAGAGGAUGAUCAGCCACACUGGAACUGAGGCACGGUCCAGACUCCUACGGGAGGCAGCAGUGGGGAAUUUUGCGCAAUGGGGGAAACCCUGACGCAGCAACGCCGCGUGGGUGAUGAAGGCCUUCGGGUCGUAAAGCCCUGUCGGGAGGGAAGAAAUGAUUGAGAGCUAAUACCUCUUGGUCUUGACGGUACCUCCGAAGGAAGCACCGGCUAACUCCGUGCCAGCAGCCGCGGUAAUACGGAGGGUGCAAGCGUUGUUCGGAAUUAUUGGGCGUAAAGCGCGUGUAGGCGGUCUUUUAAGUCUGAUGUGAAAGCCCCGGGCUCAACCUGGGAAGUGCAUUGGAAACUGGGAGACUUGAGUACGGGAGAGGAGAGUGGAAUUCCUAGUGUAGGAGUGAAAUCCGUAGAUAUUAGGAGGAACACCGGUGGCGAAGGCGGCUCUCUGGACCGAUACUGACGCUGAGACGCGAAAGCGUGGGUAGCAAACAGGAUUAGAUACCCUGGUAGUCCACGCCGUAAACGAGGAGUACUAGGUGUUGC